This 425-nucleotide ribosomal RNA is filed under the name uncultured bacterium. RNAcentral's name for it is "bacterial SSU rRNA". It matches the Rfam family "Bacterial small subunit ribosomal RNA", at positions 617 to 1051 of the family's 1533-position model. The record is from RNAcentral.
GAAACUGCCAUUGAUACUAUAGGUCUUGAUCUUCCGGAGGUUAGCGGAAUAUGUCAUGUAGCGGUGAAAUGCUUAGAUAUGACAUAGAACACCAAUUGCGAAGGCAGCUAACUACAGGGGCAUUGACACUGAGGCACGAAAGCGUGGGGAUCAAACAGGAUUAGAUACCCUGGUAGUCCACGCCCUAAACGAUGGAUACUCGACAUUUGUGAUACACAAUAAGUGUCUGAGCGAAAGCAUUAAGUAUCCCACCUGGGAAGUACGACCCAAGGUUGAAACUCAAAGGAAUUGGCGGGGGUCCGCAAGCGGUGGAGCAUGUGUUUAAUUCGAUGAUACGCGAGGAACCUUACCUGGGCUAGAAUGCCGUGGACCGUGGUGAAACUCACUUUGUAGCAAUACACCGCUGGUAAGGUGCUGCAUGGCUG